AUACUUUCGUUUGUCUUUUCGUCGAUCCUCGAGUCCUCUCUCAUUGUGCUUAUUCAAAUGUGGAUUGGGAUGGAUGUCCUGACACUCGAUGUUCCACCAUAGGUAUAUGCGUGUUUUUGGGACCUAAUCUUAUAUCUUGGUGUGCUAAGAAGCAACAGGCUGUUUAUCGCUCCUCUGCUGAAGCCGAGUAUCAUUCUCUUGCUCAUGCUUGUGCUAACAUUAUCUGGAUUUCAUAUCUAGAAAAUACAUUGAAUAUGGCUAGGAUUUGUCCAUAUUCAAUGUAUUUUCUAAUUGUUUGAUCUUAGCUUCCUCUUCGAUCAUUAUGUAAUUGCCUAGACUAAGGAUCUAAAUAGCUUAGACUAAGGAUCUAGAUAGCUGUAAUUUAGUAAUCCUUUGUGUAUAUAAUGCUUAUCACUCAAUGAGAAGAAUACACAACAAAUUCUAUAAACCUUUUAGCUAUGAAUUGCUACCUUCUAUCAAGGGUCCAUGUGACGACAUUCAUCAACUAUGUGUCUCUUCCUUCUGGGGAGAUACAGAUGCAAAGAAAAAAAAUUCAUUGGUGCAGUUAGGAAAGGUUGUGUCUCACUAAGAGUGAAGGAGGUAUGGGAUUCAAAAAUAUUUAUGCUUAUAAUUUGGCAGUAUUAGCUAAGCCAGGAUGGAGAAUUAUUUCCAAUCCUCACUCAUUAAUUGCUAGAUUGUAUAAAGAAAAAUAUUUUCCCACUUGUUCGUUUUGGGAAGCAGAAUUGGAAGACUCACCAUCCUUUUCAUGGAGAAGCAUCAUUGGAGGCAAACAUGUAUUAUAAGCAGGAGUAAAAUGGAGAAUAGGUGAUGGAUCUCGGUCAAGUGAUCAUAUGGAACAAUAUAUAACAGGUUUCCAAACUGUCCUCAGUACAUGAUUCAAAAAACAUGUCGCACUUUUUAACAAAGUGGCAGAUAUCAUCAAUGCUCAAGAUAGGGGUUGGAUUCCCUAUAUUGUUUACACAUUAUUUCCUCCUAGUGUAAUAGCAUAGAUCCUAGCCAUUCCAUUAAGCAGGACCCUUACUUAAUGGAAUAGCUAGGAUCUGUGCAGCGUUACUCAUGAUAAGCUUUUUUGGAGCCCAGAAAAAAGAGGCCAUUCACGGUAAAAUCUGCAUAUUAGAUAGCUAGAGAGCAAGUUCUCAGUAAUGUUCUAACUACUACCUCAAAUGGAGAUCCUUUCAAGUUUGGAACUCCAACGUACCAGGAAAGGUUCAAAUCUAUGUCUGGAGGGUCUGUAAUAACCUUCAUCCUACAAGGGACCGAUUAUUGACUAAGGGCUAUAUGAAAGACACCAAUUGCUUGCUGUGGCACACAUAGAAUCGAAGACACUACACAUCUUUUCUCUCUAUGGCAUGGCUUGGUGAGUUCUAGAAGGCUAGGGAAUCUACUGUGGUAACGGUGCAGCACAUAAAAAAAAAAGCAUGGCAGCCGGAUAGUAGUAGUCGAGUGAAACUCAAUGUCAAUAGGGCAGUUCUGCCAUAGUUAACACAGGGGGUGUUGGAGGUGGUAUAUGUGACUCUCAAGGGCAGUUUCUAACUGCAUUUGCUCAAUCUAUUCAACUUGUCAGUUCUGCUAAGCAUGUGGAGUUAUUAGCCAUAAGGGAGGGGCUUGAUUUUUCUCAACAGAUGCAAUUAACACAUGUUACCAACUUACCAUUGAAGCUGAUUGUCUUCAAGAUGUUCAAGCUAUUUCAAGCAGAGACUAUGAGCUUUCAGAGUUAGGCAAUGUGAUUGACAAGCAGAGACUAUGUUCAAGCUAUUUCAAACAUAGGUUUGCUAGCAUCGCCUUUGACUCUGGCAAAAGAGAAUCUUGGCUCAAUAGAGCUCCUAGCUGCAUUCUUGAUGAUGUUUUGCAGCAUGAUUAUAAUCUCUUAAUCUGAUUCCUUGAAAUAAAGUUCGUCUUUCUUCUUCUUCUUCUUCUAAAAAAAAAACUUGGUUUGUUUUGAAUACCAGCUCUUGUGAUGAUGAAGAUAUCUCUACACCAUGUACAUUUAUGAUUUGUUUAAGAGAAGGAAAACUUGAAACCCACCGCUAAAGAGGCAAGCAGAGCUAGGAGGAGGACGAAUGGAGCCGUUAGAUUGUCGGACGGAGGCCGGCAGCUCGACAGACGGAGCAUGAGGGAUUGAGAGGUGCCACGUACCGACUCUCCAUGGUGGCUCACAGAGAGAGAGAGAUAGAAAAAUUUCUAGAGAGAAGGAGGAGCCUCUCUAGAAUUUCUCUAGUGUACCUUGCUUUUAUGUCUUAGUGUUGAUCGAUUUUCUUGUAAUCAAAUUGAGGACACUGUUAGCGUAAGUCAUGGCAUAA
Rosa rugosa (rugosa rose) is the source of this 2321-nucleotide long non-coding RNA. RefSeq lists it as uncharacterized. The transcript has 2 exons. The record is from RefSeq and is a predicted model, not a curated record. NCBI's taxonomy places the organism in Eukaryota, Viridiplantae, Streptophyta, Magnoliopsida, Rosales, Rosaceae.